This 567-nucleotide ribosomal RNA is filed under the name uncultured fungus. RNAcentral describes it as "eukaryotic LSU rRNA". The stretch from base 274 to 567 matches the Rfam family "Eukaryotic large subunit ribosomal RNA", at positions 1 to 289 of the family's 3401-position model. The record is from RNAcentral. Lineage: Eukaryota; Fungi.
GCGAAAUGCGAUAAGUAAUGUGAAUUGCAGAAUUCAGUGAAUCAUCGAAUCUUUGAACGCACCUUGCGCCCUCUGGUAUUCCGGAGGGCAUGCCUGUUUGAGUGUCAUGUAGACUCAAUCCCUCGGGUUUCCGAGGAGAUUGGACUUGGGUGUUGCCGCUCUGCCGGCUCGCCUUAAAAGACUUAGCGGGAUAGCACCGUAGUCGGCGUAAUAAGUUUCGUCGGUGAAGGUUGUGAUGACUGCUUACAAUCGCCCUCGGGCAAUUUUUGACUCUGACCUCAAAUCAGGUAGGACUACCCGCUGAACUUAAGCAUAUCAAUAAGCGGAGGAAAAGAAACUAACAAGGAUUCCCUUAGUAGCGGCGAGCGAAGCGGGAAGAGCUCAAAUUUGAAAGCUGGCGUCCUACGGGCGUCCGCAUUGUAAUCUAUAGAGGCGUUUUCUGUGCUGGACCGUGUCCAAGUCCCUUGGAACAGGGUAUCAAAGAGGGUGACAAUCCCGUACUUGACACGACAACCAGUGCUCUGUGAUACGUCUUCUACGAGUCGAGUUGUUUGGGAAUGCAGCUCA